This 409-nucleotide ribosomal RNA is filed under the name uncultured bacterium. RNAcentral's name for it is "bacterial SSU rRNA". It matches the Rfam family "Bacterial small subunit ribosomal RNA", at positions 130 to 518 of the family's 1533-position model. The record is from RNAcentral.
CUUCAUGUCUGGACUAAUACGCCGAAAGGGGUACGUAAUACCGGAUAUUCUUGCUUUUCAUAAGUUAUGCAAGCAAAGGUGGCCUCUGCAUAUGCUACUGCAUGAAGAGGGGUCUGCGUACCAUUAGCUAGUAGGUGGGGUAAUGGCCUACCUAGGCGACGAUGGUUAGCGGGUCUGAGAGGAUGAUCCGCCACACUGGCACUGGAACACGGGCCAGACUCCUACGGGAGGCAGCAGUGAGGAAUAUUGCGCAAUGGGGAAACCCUGACGCAGCGACGCCGCGUGAGUGAAGGAAGGCCUUCGGGUCGUAAAGCUCUGUCAAGAGGAAAGAAGUGUACAAUGGCUAAUACCUGUUGUAUUUGACGGUACCUCUAAAGGAAGCACCGGCUAACUCCGUGCCAGCAGCCGC